UGAAACCAUCCACGAAGGAUCAGAACCAUCCAAAUCGUGACCAGCAAAGGAACAACUAUAUCAUCCUGUUUUGAUCGAAACCUCUUCAUUAAGACAAACUGAAAUAAAACAAGCAGCAUUCAUGAGAAAGUGAGAUUGCGGUGGAUUCCUUCUCCAUCCUUGCAAGCAGCAAACAAUUGAGAUUCCCGUGUACGAGCCAGAGACGAUCUGACAGAUAAAAUUUAG
RNAcentral lists this unclassified non-coding RNA (225 nucleotides) under Hevea brasiliensis (rubber tree). The record is from RNAcentral. Lineage: Eukaryota; Viridiplantae; Streptophyta; Magnoliopsida; Malpighiales; Euphorbiaceae.